Bombus huntii is the source of this 361-nucleotide long non-coding RNA. RefSeq lists it as uncharacterized. The record is from RefSeq and is a predicted model, not a curated record. The transcript has 2 exons. Lineage: Eukaryota; Metazoa; Arthropoda; Insecta; Hymenoptera; Apidae.
AAACCUGAAAAGAAAAAGAAGUUUAUUACAAAUGCUCCGACUACUGUUUGAAUGUAAAACGUGUUAGUUCAACGAGUGACCAAAACAGUGAAGGUGCUACUUACCUCGUGAGCAAUUAAUCACCAUACAAGGAAGUGUACAUGCAUGAAUUUUGCAGAUUAACAAGAAGAAAUAAAGUAGCUGAUAAGUGUAGAAAGAGAUAUAAGACGAUUGAAGCCAACCGUAGUAAGUAUUUAAGGCAUAUCGAAGAAUCAGAUGAUGUUGUGGGAAUGCUCUAGGUAAGUGAUGCAGCAUCGAAAGAGUAGAACCUGAAGAAUUACAGACAAUGUUAAUCUAACAAGUAGAUUUUAAUCACUAAUAA